This is a long non-coding RNA of Spinacia oleracea (spinach), 1528 nucleotides long. RefSeq lists it as uncharacterized. The transcript has 7 exons. NCBI's taxonomy places the organism in Eukaryota, Viridiplantae, Streptophyta, Magnoliopsida, Caryophyllales, Amaranthaceae. The record is from RefSeq and is a predicted model, not a curated record.
CUUAUAAGUUGCUCAUCAAAAGUUGCCCAUAUACAACAAGAGCAACUUAUAAUGGUUACAAAAAAAAAAAAAUUAAAAGUUGUCCUUAUCUAACAAGAGCAUCUUUUAAUGACAAAAUGUAAAAAAAAAUAAAAAUAAAAAGUAAAUCUUUACUACUGAAACCAGAUUUUCCCCCCUUCUCUUCUCGUUGCUCGGCUGCUCCCCUUUUCUUCUGCAGAAGCCGUUUAUGGCGACGACUUUAUCAUCCUCAACAGAUUUCCUCCAGACCUUCAUCUCCACAUCAAACCUCGUACCGCCGACGUCGAUUCUCAAUAGGUUGAACGGUGUUAUAUCUGCUUUUGGACGGCUUUUGCUGAUGGGGCUGGCGGUGGUGGUGGUUUGUUCAAGGAUUUUGGACGCCUUUUGCUGCUGGGGCUGGCGGUGGUGGUGGUUUUCGUUGCGGCUUUCUGGCCAGUAUCACGAUCAGCAUUGCGAUCAGGGCUUCCAUUUGUACCAAGUUACCUAGGACAAGCAGGGACCAUUGAUGCUAUGAUUCGUGGGGUGAAUUACGCUUCUGCUGGUGCUGGAAUUAUUUUCUCAAGUGGCUCAGAUCUGGUCAAAGCUAUUGCAGAAGAAAUGGGGAUUGGAUUUCUACGUGUGAGAGCAAUCAAAGGGAACACCAACAUAGCACGAGCUGAGAUGGGGUCGAGUUCUUGGGACAGUGACAAGAUCCUUCACUAGGUGCAAUUGGCUAUGCAGAUAGGCUGGCAUUUGCACUAGAUAAAUUCUGAAAGGGGUUUGAGAAUACCGAUUCUAGCCUUUCAGUUUUAGCAGGGGAAUUGAAGAAGUUAAGGUUUUGGUAGCUGUACAUAUUCGUCUACUAUUACAUUUUCGUAUUGCUAUAGAAAAUUUCAUAGUGUUGUUGGCCAAAUGGUCUCUGAUAUUCUUGAUUCUAUUUGUUAUAUAUAUCUAAGACGACUUCCCUUUAAAAACCAAAAUCAAAGGCUUACAACUCUUAAUGCUUGAGCAUUCUGCUUCAGGUGAUGCUAAUCUGUGGGACGACAGUGAUGGGAAAUAUGCAGAUGGUCAACUAUGGCUUGAAGAUCACCAUAUAAUCGGAAGAGUGAUUGGGUGAACUUGGAUUUUAGUUCUGAAGCUGACAUGAUCAGAAAAUUUCGUGCUGGUUUAGCAUUACAACUUAUUGCAACAGCAUUAUUCGCGAACUCACCUUUCAAGGAUGGAAAGCCCAAUGGUUAUCUCGGUUUGAGAAGGUUCUAUCGAUUUUCCUCAGAGACCAAAGUUGAUGAUGUUGGUUUUCAAAACUCUAAGAGAGGGUCCCUUUACCGAAAAGGAGUUGGAUGAAGUUCGAGACAAGUGGGCUAUUUACUUCAACGAUUGUGAACUGCCCUCAGUGUAAUAAAUAGAGCAGGCUUUUAGUUAUUCGUGACUCUUAGAUUAUUUUGUUAUUUAUCGAUUUAAUUAAUUACAUUUGAAUUAAUUUGGUAAUAUUAUUGGAAAUUUGAAAUUUAUAUCAUUUUUGAGAAUGUCA